UUGAACGCUGGCGGCAUGCCUUACACAUGCAAGUCGAACGGCAGCGGACCUUCGGGUGCCGGCGAGUGGCGAACGGGUGAGUAAUAUAUCGGAACGUACCUUUCAGUGGGGAUAACGUAGCGAAAGUUACGCUAAUACCGCAUAUUCUGUGAGCAGGAAAGCAGGGGAUCGCAAGACCUUGCGCUGAUUGAGCGGCCGAUAUCAGAUUAGCUAGUUGGUGAGGUAAAGGCUCACCAAGGCGACGAUCUGUAGCGGGUCUGAGAGGAUGAUCCGCCACACUGGAACUGAGACACGGUCCAGACUCCUACGGGAGGCAGCAGUGGGGAAUUUUGGACAAUGGGCGCAAGCCUGAUCCAGCCAUGCCGCGUGAGUGAAGAAGGCCUUCGGGUUGUAAAGCUCUUUCGGCCGGGAAGAAAUCGCACAGGUUAAUACCCUGUGUGGAUGACGGUACCGGAAUAAGAAGCACCGGCUAACUACGUG
RNAcentral lists this ribosomal RNA (480 nucleotides) under uncultured bacterium. Its description in RNAcentral is "bacterial SSU rRNA". It matches the Rfam family "Bacterial small subunit ribosomal RNA", at positions 30 to 507 of the family's 1533-position model. The record is from RNAcentral.